RNAcentral lists this ribosomal RNA (478 nucleotides) under uncultured bacterium. RNAcentral describes it as "partial 16S ribosomal RNA". It matches the Rfam family "Bacterial small subunit ribosomal RNA", at positions 28 to 507 of the family's 1533-position model. The record is from RNAcentral.
GAUGAACGCUGGCGGCGUGCUUAACACAUGCAAGUCGAACGAGAAGUGAAGACGGAAACCUUCGGGCGGAAGGCUUUAUUUCGAGUGGCGGACGGGUGAGUAACGCGUGGGUAACCUGCCUCAUACAGGGGGAUAACAGUUGGAAACGACUGUUAAUACCGCAUAAGACCACAGCACCGCAUGGUGCGGGGGUAAAAACUCCGGUGGUAUGAGAUGGACCCGCGUUCGAUUAGCCAGUUGGCGGGGUAACGGCCCACCAAAGCGACGAUCGAUAGCCGAUCUGAGAGGAUGACCGGCCACAUUGGGACUGAGACACGGCCCAAACUCCUACGGGAGGCAGCAGUGGGGAAUAUUGCACAAUGGGGGAAACCCUGAUGCAGCGACGCCGCGUGAGUGAAGAAGUAUCUCGGUAUGUAAAGCUCUAUCAGCAGGGAAGAAAAUGACGGUACCUGAGGAAGAAGCCCCGGCUAACUACGUG